CAGUAGCCGCGGGAAUACGAAGGGUGCAAGCGUUAAUCGGAAUUACUGGGCGUAAAGCGUGCGCAGGCGGUUUGUUAAGACAGAUGUGAAAUCCCCGGGCUCAACCUGGGAACUGCAUUUGUGACUGGCAAGCUAGAGUGUGGCAGAGGGGGGUGGAAUUCCGCGUGUAGCAGUGAAAUGCGUAGAUAUGCGGAGGAACACCGAUGGCGAAGGCAGCCCCCUGGGCCAACACUGACGCUCAUGCACGAAAGCGUGGGGAGCAAACAGGAUUAGAUACCCCUGUAGUCCCUGUCUCUUAUAC
This 301-nucleotide ribosomal RNA is filed under the name uncultured bacterium. RNAcentral's name for it is "partial 16S ribosomal RNA". It matches the Rfam family "Bacterial small subunit ribosomal RNA", at positions 509 to 807 of the family's 1533-position model. The record is from RNAcentral.